UGGGGAAUUUUGCACAAUGGGGGAAACCCUGAUGCAGCGACGCCGCGUGAUUUAGAAGGCCUUCGGGUUGUAAAAAUCUUUUUUAUGGGAUGAAAAUGACAGUACCAUAAGAAUAAGGUCCGGCUAAAUACGUGCCAGCAGCCGCGGUAAUACGUAUGGACCGAGCGUUGUCCGGAAUCAUUGGGCGUAAAGGGUACGUAGGCGGCCCAGUAAGUUAGAAGUGAAAUAAUAUAGCUCAACUAUAUAAAGCUUUUAAAACUGCUAGGCUUGAGAGAUGGAAGGGAAAGUGGAAUUCCUAGUGUAGCGGUGAAAUGCGCAGAUAUUAGGAAGAACACCGGUGGCGAAGGCGGCCUUCUGGGCCAUAACUGACGCUGAGGAGCGAAAGCUAGGGGAGCGAACAGG
Molecule: ribosomal RNA, 402 nt
Filed under: Verrucomicrobiota bacterium
Lineage: Bacteria; Pseudomonadati; Verrucomicrobiota
Description: Verrucomicrobia bacterium partial 16S ribosomal RNA
Rfam family: Bacterial small subunit ribosomal RNA
Source: RNAcentral